AGGGCCAGAAUUAAAAGGCCGGAACGUGGAACGGAAAGCCGAAAGGAGAGGCCCUCCUCGUUGAAGUGUCGACCUCCGGUCCUCGUGUCCAACGUGGCAACGGCAGCAACAUCAAAACAAAAGUCGUCGGCGCCCUCGCCCGCGUCUCGUAAAAAGGGCUCUCAAGAAGCGGUUGCGCUGCGCCUCUGCCCCUGCUCGACGCGUCGGCGUCGGCCCCCGACCCCCGUCCGCACGAGAAAACAAAUCGCCUCUUUUCCAGGAGCCAAACCACCACACCUUAUAUCUGUCAUACUUUCUCGCCCCCCGUGAGCCGUGACCCCGUCUCGCCUCGCCGCCGCCGCCGCCGCCGAUGGGCUCCGGGGAGGAGCCGUCGCAGAUGCGGAGGGCGCUGGUGGACUCUCUCGCGGGCGCCAUCUCCGGCGGCAUCUCCCGCACCGUCACCUCCCCCCUCGACGUCAUCAAAAUCCGCUUCCAGGUUCAGUUAGAACCCACAACCUCGUGGGGUAUUCUUCGAAGGGAUGUGUAUGGACCUUCCAAAUACACUGGGCUUCUGCAAGCAACCAAAGAUAUUCUCAGAGAGGAAGGUUUACCGGGAUUUUGGAGAGGAAAUGUACCGGCUCUGUUUAUGUAUAUGCCAUAUACAGCUAUACAAUUCACUGUUCUACACAAACUAAAAACAUUUGCUUCUGGUUCAUCUAGAACAGAGGAUCAUUUGGAUUUGAGCCCUUACUUAUCUUAUGUAAGUGGAGCUAUAGCAGGGUGCACAGCAACUAUAGGGUCAUAUCCAUUUGACCUUCUGAGGACUAUUCUUGCAUCUCAGGGUGAACCAAAGGUUUACCCCAAUAUGAGGUCUGCGUUUAUUGAUAUAAUUAAAACUCGUGGUGUUCAAGGGCUUUAUUCUGGUCUAUCUCCAACUCUUGUUGAAAUCAUACCAUAUGCCGGUUUGCAGUUUGGUUCAUACGACACUUUCAAACGUUCGAUGAUGACAUGGAACAGAUAUAAAUAUUCACAUCUUAGCUUUGGAAGCGAGGAUGAUUCAGUAUCAAGUUUCCAGCUAUUUCUUUGUGGGUUUGCAGCUGGGACAUUUUCAAAGGCUGCAUGCCACCCACUUGAUGUUGUAAAGAAAAGGUUCCAGAUUGAAGGACUAAAACGACAUCCAAGGUAUGGUGCUCCAAUUGAGAGCAGUACAUACAAGGGCAUGUACCAUGCCUUAAAGGAGAUUGUCGUAAAGGAGGGAUUUGGAGGCCUUUAUAAGGGCCUUUUCCCCUCUUUAGUGAAAUCGGCCCCUGCUGGUGCAGUGACAUUUGUGGUUUAUGAAUACAUCUCAGACUGGUUAGAAUCGAUACUUUAUCCCCCUUUUUUUUCUUGUUAAUGUAUGUUUUCUUUCCGCAUGCUGUUGUACACUUGUGUCUGGAAGAGGUUGCAGUUCCAUUGGAUCCUGCAGUCCAUACGAGGUUUGGGAACCUGCUAAAAUCAACUGGAUGAUUCAUGCUCGAUAGGGUGCAAGGCUGGAGUUGAGUAAGUUCUUGUUGGAUCAUGGAGCUGUCAGGAUAACAUGACGAAAACUUUUUGCACACCCUGGAUAAUGGAGGGGAAUGGAGACCAUAAGGUCACUCGUGAAGUGCAUACAAUCCCUAGAGAUCUGAUUGCAUACAUGUAAAGCCUUACAUAGAAAAUAGCUGUUUUAUCGUUUCUUAUUCUUUUGCCCAAUUGCCUAAUCUGGUGGUCGGGGUAUUCGUUGGCGUCUCAAACAAGGCUGAGUAAAACUAACAUAGUGAUCGUAACACAGCAUACAUGACGGAAGUCAAAAGCAGCCGGCAGUUUUGUUGGGAUCGUGUUACGAAUAUUUUUUUUCCGGCUGAAUUCAUGUUAUAUAUCUACUACUACAGCUAGUACGAGUAACAAUGUAUGCCACUCAGAUGGCGUAUGUUUAAUGGCAGUCAUAAUUUUUCCA
Zea mays is the source of this 1954-nucleotide RNA transcript. It is a transcript of the gene named mitochondrial thiamine diphosphate carrier 1, with no coding region annotated. Lineage: Eukaryota; Viridiplantae; Streptophyta; Magnoliopsida; Poales; Poaceae. The transcript has 8 exons. The record is from RefSeq and is marked provisional.